GGCUUAGAGUUUGAUCAUGGCUCAGGAUAAACGCUGGCGGCGCACAUAAGACAUGCAAGUCGAACGGAAGUCGUUAUAAAAAGGAUUGAAGAUUUAUCUGAUUGAUAUUUUAUAACAAUGGCUUUAGUGGCGGACUGGUGAGUAACGCGUGAGCAACCUGCCUAUUAGAGGGGAAUAACAGUGAGAAAUCAUUGCUAAUACCGCAUAUGCCAUGAACAUCACAUGAUGAAAAUGGGAAAGGAGCAAUCCGCUAAUAGAUGGGCUCGCGUCUGAUUAGAUAGUUGGUGGGGUAAUGGCCUACCAAGUCGACGAUCAGUAGCCGGACUGAGAGGUUGAACGGCCACAUUGGGACUGAGAUACGGCCCAGACUCCUACGGGAGGCAGCAGUCGGGAAUAUUGCGCAAUGGAGGAAACUCUGACGCAGUGACGCCGCGUAUAGGAAGAAGGUUUUCGGAUUGUAAACUAUUGUCGUUAGGGAAGAUAAAAGACAGUACCUAAGGAGGAAGCUCCGGCUAACUACGUGCCAGCAGCCGCGGUAAUACGUAGGGAGCAAGCGUUAUCCGGAUUUAUUGGGUGUAAAGGGUGCGUAGACGGGAUAUUAAGUUAGUUGUGAAAUCCCUCGGCUUAACUGAGGAACUGCAACUAAAACUGGUAUUCUUGAGUGUUGGAGAGGAAAGUG
Molecule: ribosomal RNA, 679 nt
Filed under: uncultured bacterium
Lineage: Bacteria
Description: bacterial SSU rRNA
Rfam family: Bacterial small subunit ribosomal RNA
Source: RNAcentral